Molecule: transfer RNA, 87 nt
Filed under: Clostridiales bacterium
Lineage: Bacteria; Bacillati; Bacillota; Clostridia; Eubacteriales
Also listed under: 1 other name
Description: tRNA-Leu
Rfam family: tRNA
About the family: Transfer RNA (tRNA) molecules are approximately 80 nucleotides in length. Their secondary structure includes four short double-helical elements and three loops (D, anti-codon, and T loops).
Source: RNAcentral
GCGGGUAUGGCGGAACUGGCAGACGCGCUAGAUUCAGGUUCUAGUGAUCGCAAGGUCAUGCAGGUUCAAUUCCUGUUACCCGCACCA